Molecule: ribosomal RNA, 301 nt
Filed under: uncultured bacterium
Lineage: Bacteria
Description: partial 16S ribosomal RNA
Rfam family: Bacterial small subunit ribosomal RNA
Source: RNAcentral
CAGUAGCCGCGGUAAUACGAAGGGUGCAAGCGUUAAUCGGAAUUACUGGGCGUAAAGCGUGCGUAGGCGGUGAGUUAAGUCUGCUGUGAAAUCCCCGGGCUCAACCUGGGAAUGGCAGUGGAUACUGGCUCGCUAGAGUGUGUCAGAGGAUGGUGGAAUUCCCGGUGUAGCGGUGAAAUGCGUAGAGAUCGGGAGGAACAUCAGUGGCGAAGGCGGCCAUCUGGGACAACACUGACGCUGAGGCACGAAAGCGUGGGGAGCAAACAGGAUUAGAUACCCCGUAGUCCCUGUCUCUUAUACC